CACGUAUUUAGCCGGGGCUUCCUCCUAUGAUACCGUCAUUAUCUUCUCAUAGGACAGAGCUUUACGAUUCGAAAACCUUCUUCGCUCACGCGGCGUCGCUACAUCAGGGUUCCCCCCAUUGUGCAAUAUUCCCCACUGCUGCCUCCCGUAGGAGUUUGGACCGUGUCUCAGUUCCAAUGUGGCCGUUCAUCCUCUCAGACCGGCUACUGAUCGUCGCCUUGGUAGGCCUUUACCCUUCCAACUAGCUAAUCAGACGCGAGCCCUUCUUACACCGAUAAAUCUUUGACCCCUAUAUCAUGCGAUUCUGUGGUCUCAUGCGGUAUUAAUCGUCGUUUCCAACGGCUAUCCCCCUGUGUAAGGUAGGUUGCUCACGUGUUACUCACCCGUUCGCCACUUUCAUUUCAUUUCCAUUCCCGAAAGAAUUUCCACAAAAAUCACGUUCGACUUGCAUGUGUUAAGCACGCCGCCAGCGUUGUCCUGAGCCACGGAUCAAACUCU
RNAcentral lists this ribosomal RNA (498 nucleotides) under uncultured Parvimonas sp. Its description in RNAcentral is "partial 16S ribosomal RNA". Lineage: Bacteria; Bacillati; Bacillota; Tissierellia; Tissierellales; Peptoniphilaceae. The record is from RNAcentral.